GGGCCGAUGGUCUAGUUGGUUAGGACAUCGCCUUGACGUGGCGAAGAUCGGGAGUUCGAAUCUCCCUCGGCCCA
RNAcentral lists this transfer RNA (74 nucleotides) under Nanobdellota archaeon. RNAcentral describes it as "tRNA-Val". It matches the Rfam family "tRNA". From Rfam's summary of the family: Transfer RNA (tRNA) molecules are approximately 80 nucleotides in length. Their secondary structure includes four short double-helical elements and three loops (D, anti-codon, and T loops). The record is from RNAcentral. Lineage: Archaea; Nanobdellati; Nanobdellota.